ACGCGCCGCUGGCGGCAGGCUUAAACAUGCAAGUCGAACGGGCUUCUUCGGAAGUAGUGGCAGACGGGUGAGUAACACGUGGGAACGUGCCCUUCGGUUCGGAAUAACUCAGGGAAACUUGAGCUAAUACCGGAUACGCCCUUAUGGGGAAAGGUUUACUGCCGAAGGAUCGGCCCGCGUCUGAUUAGCUUGUUGGUGGGGUAACGGCCUACCAAGGCGACGAUCAGUAGCUGGUCUGAGAGGAUGAUCAGCCACACUGGGACUGAGACACGGCCCAGACUCCUACGGGAGGCAGCAGUGGGGAAUAUUGGACAAUGGGCGCAAGCCUGAUCCAGCCAUGCCGCGUGAGUGAUGAAGGCCUUAGGGUUGUAAAGCUCUUUUGUCCGGGACGAUAAUGACGGUACCGGAAGAAUAAGCCCCGGCUAACUUCGUGCCAGCAGCCGCGGUAAUA
This 451-nucleotide ribosomal RNA is filed under the name Methylorubrum thiocyanatum. Its description in RNAcentral is "bacterial SSU rRNA". It matches the Rfam family "Bacterial small subunit ribosomal RNA", at positions 34 to 525 of the family's 1533-position model. Lineage: Bacteria; Pseudomonadati; Pseudomonadota; Alphaproteobacteria; Hyphomicrobiales; Methylobacteriaceae. The record is from RNAcentral.